Electrophorus electricus (electric eel) is the source of this 92-nucleotide small nucleolar RNA. The record is from Ensembl. Lineage: Eukaryota; Metazoa; Chordata; Actinopteri; Gymnotiformes; Gymnotidae.
UCCCUCGGCUCUGAUGACUAUAUACUUUUUUCCCCAGCAGAUCGACUCUGUUGACUGUACAAAAUUUAAGCCAAACCGUCUGAGCUGCGGCA